UACGUAGGGGCCAAGCGUUGUCCGGAUUUAUUGGGCGUAAAGCGCACGUAGGCGGUUCGUUAUGUCGGAUGUGAAAGCCCUUGGCUUAACCGAGGAAGUGCAUCCGAAACUGGCGAGCUAGAGUACGAAAGAGGAUCGCGGAAUUCCCGGUGUAGAGGUGAAAUUCGUAGAUAUCGGGAGGAACACCGGUGGCGAAGGCGGCGAUCUGGGUCGAUACUGACGCUGAGGUGCGAAAGCGUGGGGAGCAAACAGG
Molecule: ribosomal RNA, 253 nt
Filed under: uncultured bacterium
Lineage: Bacteria
Description: partial 16S ribosomal RNA
Rfam family: Bacterial small subunit ribosomal RNA
Source: RNAcentral